GUCGAGAAUCAUUCGCAAUGGGCGAAAGCCUGACGAUGCGACGCCGUGUGAGCGAUGAAGGCCUUAGGGUCGUAAAGCUCUUUCGCUUGGGAACAAGAGAAGCUGGCUAAUAUCCAGCGGAUUUGAGGGUACCAGGUAAAGAAGCACCGGCUAACUCCGUGCCAGCAGCUGCGGUAAUACGGAGGGUGCAAGCAUUAAUCGGAUUUAUUGGGCGUAAAGGGCGCGUAGGCGGAAUGAUAAGUCAGAUGUGAAAUCCCGGGGCUCAACCUCGGAACUGCAUUUGAAACUAUUUUUCUAGAGGGUAGAUGGAGAAAACGGAAUUCCACAAGUAGCGGUGAAAUGCGUAGAUAUGUGGAAGAACACCGGUGGCGAAGGCGGUUUUCUAAUUUAUACCUGACGCUGAGGCGCGAAAGCAAGGGGAUCAAACAGGAUUAGAAACCCGAGUAGUCC
This 450-nucleotide ribosomal RNA is filed under the name uncultured bacterium. Its description in RNAcentral is "partial 16S ribosomal RNA". It matches the Rfam family "Bacterial small subunit ribosomal RNA", at positions 354 to 796 of the family's 1533-position model. The record is from RNAcentral.